RNAcentral lists this ribosomal RNA (419 nucleotides) under uncultured bacterium. RNAcentral describes it as "bacterial SSU rRNA". It matches the Rfam family "Bacterial small subunit ribosomal RNA", at positions 355 to 771 of the family's 1533-position model. The record is from RNAcentral.
UGAGGAAUAUUGGUCAAUGGACGCAAGUCUGAACCAGCCAUGCCGCGUGCAGGAAGAAUGCCCUAUGGGUUGUAAACUGCUUUUAUUUGGGAAUAAACCUCUUAACGUGUAGAGAGCUGAAGGUACCAAAAGAAUAAGCACCGGCUACCUCCGUGCCAGCAGCCGCGGUAAUACGGAGGGUGCAAGCGUUAUCCGGAAUCAUUGGGUUUAAAGGGUCCGCAGACGGACUAAUAAGUCAGUGGUGAAAGCCCAUAGCUUAACUAUGGAACUGCCAUUGAAACUGUUAGUCUUGAAUUCGGUCGAAGUGGGCGGAAUGUGUCAUGUAGCGGUGAAAUGCAUAGAUAUGACACAGAACACCGAUAGCGAAGGCAGCUCACUAGGCCUGGAUUGACGCUCAGGGACGAAAGCGUGGGGAGCGA